This 253-nucleotide ribosomal RNA is filed under the name uncultured bacterium. RNAcentral's name for it is "partial 16S ribosomal RNA". It matches the Rfam family "Bacterial small subunit ribosomal RNA", at positions 524 to 776 of the family's 1533-position model. The record is from RNAcentral.
GACGUAGGGCGCGAGCGUUGUCCGGAUUUAUUGGGGGUAAAGAGCUCGUAGGCGGCUUGUCGCGUCGUCCGUGAAAACCUGCAGCUCAACUGCAGGCUUGCGGUCGAUACGGGCAGGCUAGAGUUCGGUAGGGGAGACUGGAAUUCCUGGUGUAGCGGUGAAAUGCGCAGAUAUCAGGAGGAACACCGGUGGCGAAGGCGGGUCUCUGGGCCGAUACUGACGCUGAGGAGCGAAAGCGUGGGGAGCGAACAGG